RNAcentral lists this unclassified non-coding RNA (404 nucleotides) under Hevea brasiliensis (rubber tree). Lineage: Eukaryota; Viridiplantae; Streptophyta; Magnoliopsida; Malpighiales; Euphorbiaceae. The record is from RNAcentral.
GAAAUUGACAAACCCUCCUCUCGUCGCCAUUACUGCUAACACCUGUUGUUCAAAAUGGUUGAAACUCUGUUUGAAGAUAUAUUUACAGUCACUCAGAAAGAUCCUGAUGGAAAAAAAUUUGAUCGAGUGAAUCGCAUUGAAGCACGGAGUGAGCAGUUUGAUAUGUUCAUGCUACUGGAUGUAAACACUGAGAUAUAUCCUAUGCGCGUUAAGGAUAAAUUUAUGAUGGUUUUAGCUUCUACUUUGAACUUGGAUGGGACACCAGAUACUGGUUAUUUCAUUCAGGGUAACAAGAAAUCACUUGCUGACAAGUUCGAAUAUGUCAUGCAUGGUAAGCUAUAUAGGAUCUCAGAGGAAGGUUCCGGGAAGCACGUUAAAGCAGACAUUUUUGUUUCAUUUGGAGG